AGCAGAGUGGCGCAGCGGUAGAGUGCUGGGCCCAUAAGCCAGAGAUCGAUGUAUCGAAACCAUCCUCGGCUA
This 72-nucleotide transfer RNA is filed under the name Albula goreensis. It matches the Rfam family "tRNA". From Rfam's summary of the family: Transfer RNA (tRNA) molecules are approximately 80 nucleotides in length. Their secondary structure includes four short double-helical elements and three loops (D, anti-codon, and T loops). The record is from Rfam by way of RNAcentral. Lineage: Eukaryota; Metazoa; Chordata; Actinopteri; Albuliformes; Albulidae.